Long non-coding RNA from Arvicola amphibius (Eurasian water vole), 1745 nucleotides. RefSeq lists it as uncharacterized. Lineage: Eukaryota; Metazoa; Chordata; Mammalia; Rodentia; Cricetidae. The transcript has 3 exons. The record is from RefSeq and is a predicted model, not a curated record.
CGGAAAGUUAGAUUGCGGGGUCCUCCGGCCUCAGCCGCGAGCCCGGGGCUCUCUGCCCGGCCCUGGGUGGAAGUCAGGCUUUUUGCUCGCCGAGUCCAUUGCUCACGUUAUUUGCACCCCUAAGGGAGGAUGAAGUCUAGUGGCCUUACACUUCCUUCAGAAGCAUGAGAAGGGCAAAGCUCAGCUGUGUUGUGAAGUAUUAAAGUAAAAUGGAGAAGAAGGAAAGAAAAGAGAGAACCAGUAUCAAACAGAACGUGAGUUCCUUCCAGCCUGUGGCUGACCAAAUAUCUUCUGCAAAUCUGCCUGUCUUCUUGACCUGCAGCAGAUGAUAAUAACAAUACAGUGUGCUUAUCCUGUGCCAGGCACAGCUUCAAGACUUCUCACAGAAACCAUAUCUAAUUUUCACAAUAACUGAAUGAAGUAGAGACUAUCAACACCCGCGUGAUAGAGACGAAGAAAUCGGGGCUUAGAAAGCUUGAAAGCGGCAGAGAAAAAUAACGAAAAGAUGAAGACCAGCCACCACGGUAGACAUCCUAACCUUUUCCCAUCUCCCUCUGGCAGUUGAAAUUCCUCUUCUUUAUUGAAAGGGUUGAGUCGUUCAUUCAACAGCCAGACAGCUUAACCGAAUAUCCUUGUGGCGGGAUUUCCUUUACAAGAUUCAGUUCACAGAUGCCACAGGCGGGGAUCCAUAUUCCCAGUGGGAUGUAACCUCAUGUGCAAACCUGUCACACUGCCUACCGGUACAUCCUCCACAGUUAAUCCGUUCGCAGGGCUCCUAGCCAUGCUAGCUACAUCACCAUAUUUACGCUGAGGCCUUACCAUCUCCUCCAUCUUGGGAAACAUUGGCAUUGAACUGAAUCCCAGAUCUAAUCCUUUAUGCAAAUACUACCAGGAAAUCUGGACCAUGGACACAUGUGCCUUGCUCACCAUACGGAGUGUUCAAACUGGAAACGCUGCCCUCUGCCAAGAACUCUGGAGUCAUCCUGUCACCAACUAUUAACUCAGAGAUCCGUCUUCUCAUUGGCAGCUAACCACCAAACCCACAAAGUUGUAUUUAAUUUGCUCUUGGAGGAAGGACUGAGUUGUCCCUGUGCGAAUGAUGCUCCUCUGUGGAGCCCUGGAGAAUGCUGGAUAUUCACGACAAGCAACCCUUCUCCUGCCUGUCAGUGGCAUGGCUGGUCUGUGCCAGUCAACCUUUCAUGAAAUCAAGAACAAGAAAACUACCGCUGGCUGCACCAGCUCUUGAGGGAGCUUGGGCUUUCUUCUGUAAACUCAAGCCUUCUAUUAACACCAGUUAAUGCGCUCUGAUCUCCCAGCAGCUUGCUUAUUUGCUCUGUAGAAAGGAUGCGCGUUGCUUUCUUGGCAACCAGAGAUAUUACAGGCAGCAAUGAUGAGAGCUGAUGGCUGUGUUUUUCUUGUGAAAUGUAUGCACAUGCUGGGGUAGGCAAGGAGUUAGUGCAGAUUCUCAAAAAGGCAUCUUAACACUUACCAAACGCUAAUGCGCCAGCAGGCAACCCUCAAUCUGUCAUUGCUUAAAAGCAAGCCAAGAGCCUACGAGAUAGCUUAGAAGAUCAAGGACUUUUGAUGUCAAGCUUGGUGACCUGGGUUUGAUCCCUUAAACCCACAUGGCAGAAGGAGAAAACUGACUGCUGGCAGUUGUCCUCUGACCCCCAUGUCCACACCGUGCAUGGGUGCAUACGUGUGUGCAUGCAUGUGCACACAGACACAAGCUCGCUCUCUCUCUC